This is a microRNA precursor of Nicotiana attenuata, 96 nucleotides long. It matches the Rfam family "MIR6152 microRNA precursor family". The record is from Rfam. Lineage: Eukaryota; Viridiplantae; Streptophyta; Magnoliopsida; Solanales; Solanaceae.
UGGACAAAUUAUUGUAUUCGACUGUAUUCACGGCGUGAAACAGGGGAUUACACUAUUUUUAAACGGAAAGUGAAUCAAUUAAUAUAAUAGACUCCG